Molecule: transfer RNA, 64 nt
Filed under: Chrysomya phaonis
Lineage: Eukaryota; Metazoa; Arthropoda; Insecta; Diptera; Calliphoridae
Description: tRNA-Ile
Source: RNAcentral
AAUGAAUUGCCUGAUGAAAAGGGUUACCUUGAUAGGGUAAAUCAUGUAUAUAUUACAUUCAUUA